UACGGAGGGUGCAAGCGUUAUCCGGAAUCACUGGGUUUAAAGGGUGCGUAGGCGGUGGCGUAAGUCAGUUGUGAAAUUCCCCGGCUUAACCGGCGGGAGUGCGAUUGAUACUGCGUCACUUGAAUAGGGUUGAGGUAGGCGGAAUACGACAUGUAGCGGUGAAAUGCAUAGAUAUGUCGUAGAACACCGAUUGCGAAGGCAGCUUGCUGGACCCUAAUUGACGCUGAGGCACGAAAGCGUGGGGAGCAAACAGG
This 254-nucleotide ribosomal RNA is filed under the name uncultured bacterium. RNAcentral describes it as "partial 16S ribosomal RNA". It matches the Rfam family "Bacterial small subunit ribosomal RNA", at positions 524 to 776 of the family's 1533-position model. The record is from RNAcentral.